GAGAGUUUGAUCCUGGCUCAGGACGAACGCUGGCGGCACGCUUAACACAUGCAAGUCGAACGAGAGAAGAGGAGCUUGCUUUUCUGAUCUAGUGGCGGACGGGUGAGUAACACGUGAGCAAUCUGCCUUUCAGAGGGGGAUACCGAUUGGAAACGAUCGUUAAUACCGCAUAACAUAAUUGAACCGCAUGAUUUGAUUAUCAAAGAUUUAUCGCUGAAAGAUGAGCUCGCGUCUGAUUAGCUAGUCGGUAAGGUAACGGCUUACCAAGGCGACGAUCAGUAGCCGGACUGAGAGGUUGAUCGGCCACAUUGGGACUGAGACACGGCCCAGACUCCUACGGGAGGCAGCAGUGGGGAAUAUUGCACAAUGGAGGAAACCCUGAUGCAGCGAUGCCGCGUGAGGGAAGAAGGUUUUAGGAUUGUAAACCUCUGUCUUCAGGGACGAAAAAAGACGGUACCUGAGGAGGAAGCUCCGGCUAACUACGUGCCAGCAGCCGCGGUAAUACGUAGGGAGCGAGCGUUGUCCGGAAUUACUGGGUGUAAAGGGAGCGUAGGCGGGAUCGCAAGUCAGAUGUGAAAACUAUGGGCUUAACCCAUAAACUGCAUUUGAAACUGUGGUUCUUGAGUGAAGUAGAGGUAAGCGGAAUUCCUAGUGUAGCGGUGAAAUGCGUAGAUAUUAGGAGGAACAUCAGUGGCGAAGGCGGCUUACUGGGCUUUAACUGACGCUGAGGCUCGAAAGCGUGGGGAGCAAACAGGAUUAGAUACCCUGGUAGUCCACGCCGUAAACGAUGAUUACUAGGUGUGGGGGGACUGACCCCUUCCGUGCCGCAGCAAACGCAAUAAGUAAUCCACCUGGGGAGUACGACCGCAAGGUUGAAACUCAAAGGAAUUGACGGGGGCCCGCACAAGCAGUGGAGUAUGUGGAUUAAUUCGAAGCAACGCGAAGAACCUUACCAGGUCUUGACAUCGUAUGCAUAGCUCAGAGAUGAGUGAAAUCUCUUCGGAGACAUAUAGACAGGUGGUGCAUGGUUGUCGUCAGCUCGUGUCGUGAGAUGUUGGGUUAAGUCCCGCAACGAGCGCAACCCUUACUGUUAGUUGCUACGCAAGAGCACUCUAGCAGGACUGCCGUUGACAAAACGGAGGAAGGUGGGGAUGACGUCAAAUCAUCAUGCCCCUUAUGACCUGGGCCUCACACGUACUACAAUGGCUGUAAACAGAGGGAUGCAAAGCCGCGAGGUGGAGCGAACCCCUAAAAGCAGUCUUAGUUCGGAUUGUAGGCUGCAACCCGCCUACAUGAAGUCGGAAUUGCUAGUAAUCGCAGAUCAGCAUGCUGCGGUGAAUACGUUCCCGGGCCUUGUACACACCGCCCGUCACGCCAUGGGAGUCGGUAACACCCGAAGCCUGUAGUCUAACCGCAAGGAGGACGCAGUCGAAGGUGGGAUUGAUGACUGGGGUGAAGUCGUAACAAGGUAGCCG
RNAcentral lists this ribosomal RNA (1475 nucleotides) under uncultured bacterium. RNAcentral describes it as "bacterial SSU rRNA". It matches the Rfam family "Bacterial small subunit ribosomal RNA". The record is from RNAcentral.